UACGAAGGGGGCUAGCGUUGUUCGGAAUUACUGGGCGUAAAGCGCACGUAGGCGGUUUCUUAAGUCAGGGGUGAAAUCCUGGAGCUCAACUCCAGAACUGCCUUUGAUACUGGGAGACUUGGAGUCCGGGAGAGGUGAGUGGAACUGCGAGUGUAGAGGUGAAAUUCGUAGAUAUUCGCAAGAACACCAGUGGCGAAGGCGGCUCACUGGCCCGGUACUGACGCUGAGGUGCGAAAGCGUGGGGAGCAAACAGG
This 254-nucleotide ribosomal RNA is filed under the name uncultured bacterium. RNAcentral's name for it is "partial 16S ribosomal RNA". It matches the Rfam family "Bacterial small subunit ribosomal RNA", at positions 524 to 776 of the family's 1533-position model. The record is from RNAcentral.